RNAcentral lists this ribosomal RNA (497 nucleotides) under uncultured bacterium. RNAcentral's name for it is "partial 16S ribosomal RNA". It matches the Rfam family "Bacterial small subunit ribosomal RNA", at positions 28 to 507 of the family's 1533-position model. The record is from RNAcentral.
GAUGAACGCUGGCGGCGUGCCUAAUACAUGCAAGUCGAGCGAACGGACGAGAAGCUUGCUUCUCUGAUGUUAGCGGCGGACGGGUGAGUAACACGUGGAUAACCUACCUAUAAGACUGGGAUAACUUCGGGAAACCGGAGCUAAUACCGGAUAAUAUUUUGAACCGCAUGGUUCAAAAGUGAAAGACGGUCUUGCUGUCACUAAUAGAUGGAUCCGCGCUGCAUUAGCUAGUUGGUAAGGUAACGGCUUACCAAGGCAACGAUGCAUAGCCGACCUGAGAGGGUGAUCGGCCACACUGGAACUGAGACACGGUCCAGACUCCUACGGGAGGCAGCAGUAGGGAAUCUUCCGCAAUGGGCGAAAGCCUGACGGAGCAACGCCGCGUGAGUGAUGAAGGUCUUCGGACCGUAAAACUCUGUUAUUAGGGAAGAACAUAUGUGUAAGUAACUGUGCACAUCUUGACGGUACCUAAUCAGAAAGCCACGGCUAACUACGUG